GCAGUCGAGCGGGGGAAGGUAGCUUGCUACUUGACCUAGCGGCGGACGGGUGAGUAAUGCUUAGGAAUCUGCCUAUUAGUGGGGGACAACAUCUCGAAAGGGAUGCUAAUACCGCAUACGUCCUACGGGAGAAAGCAGGGGACCUUCGGGCCUUGCGCUAAUAGAUGAGCCUAAGUCGGAUUAGCUAGUUGGUGGGGUAAAGGCCUACCAAGGCGACGAUCUGUAGCGGGUCUGAGAGGAUGAUCCGCCACACUGGGACUGAGACACGGCCCAGACUCCUACGGGAGGCAGCAGUGGGGAAUAUUGGACAAUGGGGGGAACCCUGAUCCAGCCAUGCCGCGUGUGUGAAGAAGGCCUUUUGGUUGUAAAGCACUUUAAGCGAGGAGGAGGCUACCGAGAUUAAUACUCUUGGAUAGUGGACGUUACUCGCAGAAUAAGCACCGGCUAACUCUGUGCCAGCAGCCGCGGUAAUACAGAGGGUGCAAGCGUUGAUCGGAUUUACUGGGCGUAAAGCGCGCGUAGGUGGGCCAUUAAGUCAAAUGUGAAAUCCC
This 551-nucleotide ribosomal RNA is filed under the name Acinetobacter sp. CSeB0_38. RNAcentral's name for it is "bacterial SSU rRNA". It matches the Rfam family "Bacterial small subunit ribosomal RNA", at positions 57 to 603 of the family's 1533-position model. The record is from RNAcentral. Lineage: Bacteria; Pseudomonadati; Pseudomonadota; Gammaproteobacteria; Moraxellales; Moraxellaceae.